Molecule: long non-coding RNA, 661 nt
Filed under: Theobroma cacao (cacao)
Lineage: Eukaryota; Viridiplantae; Streptophyta; Magnoliopsida; Malvales; Malvaceae
Description: long non-coding RNA (TCAC_LNC001105)
Source: RNAcentral
GAAAAAUGACCAAAAUGCCCCUGUGAGACAAAAAUUAUUUUUCUAUUGUUUUGAUUUGGAAAUAGUUUAUAACGUAUCAAAACAUGUUAUUUUACAACUGUUGAUCACAAGGGAAGUGAGAAAACUGAUAUUAAAGCCUUGCGAAGUUUCGAUCGGCAUUCCGGGCGAUGAAUAUCUAUCGGGACAUCGCGGUGGUUGUCAAGGGCUCGAAGAGAGUACCGGGUCGUGACAGUUUAUCUGUGAAAUGAAUCUGUAAUUCCUCGCAUAUGGGGCGAGUUAUGAUUUGUGCAUGAUUUUAAAUAUUAUUUGGUUCGCGAGAGCUUGUUAAAUUUUAUUGAUUUGAUUUGAAAAUGAUUAUUAAUAUAUUUUGAUGCGAAAAAUUUUAUUACCUCUAUUAUUUAUACUUUAUAAGAAAUUCUCGAUUUCUAUAUAAGGCACAAACCCUCGUUUGAAACGAAUUGCUUUUAUAAUCUUGCAUUUUUAUAUUCAACUGAUCUGUCAUUUGCUUGUUUUCCCAUCCACGCCCUACUCGUUGAGUCGAUGAUUAUCACUAAGUUUAUAAGACUCACAACCCAUUAUUUCCCCUUUUGCAGAUAGGGAUCAACCUAGUGUGUGGUCAGUGAUGCGUUUGGUCCACUGUGAAUAGGUAAAGGCAUCUCCU